Molecule: ribosomal RNA, 254 nt
Filed under: uncultured bacterium
Lineage: Bacteria
Description: partial 16S ribosomal RNA
Rfam family: Bacterial small subunit ribosomal RNA
Source: RNAcentral
UACGGGGGGAGCAAGCGUUGUUCGGAUUUACUGGGCGUAAAGGGCGCGUAGGCGGCCAGCGCAAGUCAGUUGUGAAAUCUCCGGGCUUAACUCGGAAAGGUCAACUGAUACUGCGCGGCUAGAGUGCAGAAGGGGCAACUGGAAUUCUCGGUGUAGCGGUGAAAUGCGUAGAUAUCAAGAGGAACACCAGUGGCGAAGGCGAGUCCCUGGACAACACCUGACACUGAGGCACGAAAGCUAGGGGAGCAAACAGG